AAACCAACAGGGAUUGCCUCAGUAACGGCGAGUGAAGCGGCAAAAGCUCAAAUUUGAAAUCUAGCACCUUCGGUGUUCGAGUUGUAAUUUGAAGAUGGUAACCUUGGGUUUGGCUCUUGUCUAUGUUCCUUGGAACAGGACGUCAUAGAGGGUGAGAAUCCCGUCUGAUGAGAUGCCCAUUCCUAUGUAAGGUGCUAUCGAAGAGUCGAGUUGUUUGGGAAUGCAGCUCUAAGUGGGUGGUAAAUUCCAUCUAAAGCUAAAUAUUGGCGAGAGACCGAUAGCGAACAAGUACAGUGAUGGAAAGAUGAAAAGAACUUUGAAAAGAGAGUGAAGAAGUACGUGAAAUUGUUGAAAGGGAAGGGCAUUAGAUCAGACUUGGUGUUUUACGAUUAUCUUCUCUUCUUGAGUUGUGCACUCGUAUUUCACUGGGCCAGCAUCGAUUCGGAUGGCAAGAUAAUGGCAGUUGAAUGUGGCUUCACUUCGGUGGAGUGUUAUAGCUUCUGCUGAUAUUGCCUGUCUGGAUCGAGGGCUGCGUCUUUUGACUAGGAUGCUGGCGUAAUGAUCUAAUGCCGC
RNAcentral lists this ribosomal RNA (573 nucleotides) under Hansenula anomala. RNAcentral's name for it is "Wickerhamomyces anomalus partial large subunit ribosomal RNA". It matches the Rfam family "Eukaryotic large subunit ribosomal RNA", at positions 62 to 648 of the family's 3401-position model. Lineage: Eukaryota; Fungi; Ascomycota; Saccharomycetes; Phaffomycetales; Wickerhamomycetaceae. The record is from RNAcentral.